AGAAUACCCCGGGUAGUCCCAUGCCGGAAAACGAAGGUCGGUCUUGGAGGGUUGUUCCCAUGAAGAAGUGGGCUUCCGAAGCCUAACGCAUUAAAGUCGCCCGCCUGGGGAAGUACGGGCGCAAGGGCUAAAACUCAAAAUGAAUUUGGCGGGGGGCCCGCACAAGCGGGGGGAGCAUGGUGGUUUAAUUUCGAUGCAACGCGAAGAACCUUACCCUGGUCUUGACAUCCAUAAAAUUUUUUAGGGAUAAAAAAGUGCCUUUUACCGGAAAUUAUGAGACAGGUGCUGCAUGGCUGUCGUCAGCUCGUGUUGUGAAAUGUUGGGUUAAGUCCCGCAACGAGCGCAACCCUUGUUCUCUGUUGCCAUCAGGUUAUGCUGGGAACUCAGAGGAGACUGCCGGUUAUAAGCUGGAGGAAGGUGGGGACGACGUCAAGUCAUCAUGGCCCUUACGACCAGGGCUACACACGUGCUACAAUGGCAUAUACAAAGAGAAGCAAAUCUGCGAAGACAAGCAAAACAAAUAAAGUAUGUCUUAGUUCGGACUGGAGUCUGCAACUCGACUCCACGAAGUCGGAAUCGCUAGUAAUCCUUGUUCAGACUGCCACGGUGAAUACGUUCCCGGGCCUUGCCCUCUCCGCCCGUC
RNAcentral lists this ribosomal RNA (643 nucleotides) under uncultured bacterium. RNAcentral describes it as "bacterial SSU rRNA". It matches the Rfam family "Bacterial small subunit ribosomal RNA", at positions 779 to 1398 of the family's 1533-position model. The record is from RNAcentral.